RNAcentral lists this ribosomal RNA (497 nucleotides) under uncultured bacterium. RNAcentral describes it as "partial 16S ribosomal RNA". It matches the Rfam family "Bacterial small subunit ribosomal RNA", at positions 28 to 507 of the family's 1533-position model. The record is from RNAcentral.
GAUGAACGCUGGCGGCGUGCCUAAUACAUGCCAGUCGAGCGAACAGACGAGGAGCUUGCUCCUUCGACGUUAGCGGCGGACGGGUGAGUAACACGUAGGUAACCUACCUAUAAGACUGGGAUAACUUCGGGAAACCGGAGCUAAUACCGGAUAAUAUUUCGAACCGCAUGGUUCGAUAGUGAAAGAUGGCUUUGCUAUCACUUAUAGAUGGACCUGCGCCGUAUUAGCUAGUUGGUAAGGUAACGGCUUACCAAGGCGACGAUACGUAGCCGACCUGAGAGGGUGAUCGGCCACACUGGAACUGAGACACGGUCCAGACUCCUACGGGAGGCAGCAGUAGGGAAUCUUCCGCAAUGGGCGAAAGCCUGACGGAGCAACGCCGCGUGAGUGAUGAAGGUCUUCGGAUCGUAAAACUCUGUUAUUAGGGAAGAACAAACGUGCAAGUAACUGUGCACGUCUUGACGGUACCUAAUCAGAAAGCCACGGCUAACUACGUG